This 497-nucleotide ribosomal RNA is filed under the name uncultured bacterium. Its description in RNAcentral is "partial 16S ribosomal RNA". It matches the Rfam family "Bacterial small subunit ribosomal RNA", at positions 28 to 507 of the family's 1533-position model. The record is from RNAcentral.
GAUGAACGCUGGCGGCGUGCCUAAUACAUGCAAGUCGAGCGAACAGACGAGGCGCUUGCUCCUCUGACGUUAGCGGCGGACGGGUGAGUAACACGUGUAUAACCUCCCUAUAUGACUGGGAUAACUUCGGGAAACCGGAGCUAAUACCGUAUAAUCUAUUGAACCGCAUGGUUCAAUAGUGAAAUACGGUUUUGCUGUCACUUAUAGAUGGAUCCGCGCCGCAUUAGCUAGUUGGUAAGGUAACGGCUUACCAAGGCAACGAUGCGUAGCCGACCUGAGAGGGUGAUCGGCCACACUGGAACUGAGACACGGUCCAGACUCCUACGGGAGGCAGCAGUAGGGAAUCUGACGCAAUGGGCGAAAGCUUGACGGAGCAACGCCGCGUGAGUGAUGAAGGUCUUCGGAUCGUAAAGAUCUGUUAUUAGGGAAGAACAAAUGUGUAAGUAAAUAUGCACGUCUUGACGGUACCUAAUCAGAAAGCCACGGCUAACUACGUG